RNAcentral lists this ribosomal RNA (465 nucleotides) under uncultured bacterium. RNAcentral describes it as "partial 16S ribosomal RNA". It matches the Rfam family "Bacterial small subunit ribosomal RNA", at positions 339 to 795 of the family's 1533-position model. The record is from RNAcentral.
CUACGGGUUGCUGCAGUGGGGAAUAUUGGACAAUGAGGGAAACCCUGAUCCAGCAAUGCCGCGUGUGUGAAGAAGGCCUGCGGGUUGUAAAGCACUUUCGGUUGGGAGGACUGCUUCUAGCACUAAUAUUGUUGGAAGUUGACGUUACCUUCAGAAGAAGCACCGGCUAACUCCGUGCCAGCAGCCGCGGUAAUACGGAGGGUGCAAGCGUUAAUCGGAAUUACUGGGCGUAAAGCGCGCGUAGGCGGCUAGAUCAGUCGGGUGUGAAAGCCCCGGGCUUAACCUGGGAACUGCAUCCGAUACUGUCUAGCUUGAGUACAGGAGAGGAGAGUGGAAUUCCACAUGUAGCGGUGAAAUGCGUAGAUAUGUGGAGGAACACCAAUGGCGAAGGCAGCUCUCUGGCCUGAUACUGACGCUGAGGUGCGAAAGCGCGGGGAGCAAACAGGAUUAGAUACCCUCGUAGUC